UGGUUCUGGCAUCGAUGAAGAACGCAGCGAAAUGCGAUAAGUAAUGUGAAUUGCAGAAUUCAGUGAAUCAUCGAAUCUUUGAACGCACAUUGCGCCUACCAGUAUUCUGGUGGGCAUGCCUGUUCGAGCGUCAUUUCAACCCUUAAGCCUUUGUCGCUUAGCGUUGGGUGCCUACUGGAACUCUCCCGUAGCGCCCUAAAGUCAGUGGCGGAGCCGGCUCGCACUCCAGACGUAGUAGCUUUUACACAUCGCCUGUAGCGUGGGCCGGUCCCCUGCCGUAAAACCCCCCCAAUUCUUAUAGGUUGACCUCGGAUCAGGUAGGAAUACCCGCUGA
RNAcentral lists this unclassified non-coding RNA (334 nucleotides) under uncultured fungus. Its description in RNAcentral is "partial contains 5.8S ribosomal RNA and internal transcribed spacer 2". The stretch from base 1 to 133 matches the Rfam family "5.8S ribosomal RNA", at positions 22 to 154 of the family's 154-position model. The record is from RNAcentral. Lineage: Eukaryota; Fungi.